AAAAAUGAUGAUUUUAUGCGCAGAAAUAAAAAUCGUACUACAACGUAGAAUGAUGAUACUUAAGGUCAUCCUUGAACUGAUUUUUUUUUU
Molecule: small nucleolar RNA, 90 nt
Filed under: Plasmodium gonderi
Lineage: Eukaryota; Apicomplexa; Aconoidasida; Haemosporida; Plasmodiidae
Description: small nucleolar RNA snoR19
Rfam family: small nucleolar RNA snoR19
Source: Rfam by way of RNAcentral